UGGGGAAUAUUGGGCAAUGGGCGAAAGCCUGACCCAGCGACGCCGCGUGGGUGAUGAAGGCCUUCGGGUUGUAAAGCCCUUUCGUGUGGAAAGAACAGUCCCGCGACGAAUACUCGCGGGAUUUGACGGUACCACAGGAAGAAGCACCGGCUAACUCCGUGCCCGCAGCCGCGGUAAUCCGGAGGGUGCGAGCGUUGUUCGGAAUUACUGGGCGUAAAGGGCGCGUAGGCGGCAGUGAUAGUCAGGUGUGAAAUCCUUCGGCUUAACCGGAGAACUGCAUCUGAAACUGCAUAGCUAGAGUACAGGAGAGGGAAACGGAAUUCCCGGUGUAGAGGUGAAAUUCGUAGAUAUCGGGAGGAACACCAGUGGCGAAGGCGGUUUCCUGGCCUGAUACUGACGCUGAGGCGCGAAAGCGUGGGGAGCAAACA
RNAcentral lists this ribosomal RNA (428 nucleotides) under uncultured prokaryote. RNAcentral's name for it is "bacterial SSU rRNA". It matches the Rfam family "Bacterial small subunit ribosomal RNA", at positions 355 to 774 of the family's 1533-position model. The record is from RNAcentral.